Molecule: ribosomal RNA, 465 nt
Filed under: uncultured Klebsiella sp.
Lineage: Bacteria; Pseudomonadati; Pseudomonadota; Gammaproteobacteria; Enterobacterales; Enterobacteriaceae
Description: bacterial SSU rRNA
Rfam family: Bacterial small subunit ribosomal RNA
Source: RNAcentral
CCUACGGGCGGCUGCAGUGGGGAAUAUUGCACAAUGGGCGCAAGCCUGAUGCAGCCAUGCCGCGUGUGUGAAGAAGGCCUUCGGGUUGUAAAGCACUUUCAGCGGGGAGGAAGGCGUUAAGGUUAAUAACCUUGUCGAUUGACGUUACCCGCAGAAGAAGCACCGGCUAACUCCGUGCCAGCAGCCGCGGUAAUACGGAGGGUGCAAGCGUUAAUCGGAAUUACUGGGCGUAAAGCGCACGCAGGCGGUCUGUCAAGUCGGAUGUGAAAUCCCCGGGCUCAACCUGGGAACUGCAUUCGAAACUGGCAGGCUAGGGUCUUGUAGAGGGGGGUAGAAUUCCAGGUGUAGCGGUGAAAUGCGUAGAGAUCUGGAGGAAUACCGGUGGCGAAGGCGGCCCCCUGGACAAAGACUGACGCUCAGGUGCGAAAGCGUGGGGAGCAAACAGGAUUAGAUACCCCAGUAGUC